Molecule: ribosomal RNA, 469 nt
Filed under: uncultured bacterium
Lineage: Bacteria
Description: partial 16S ribosomal RNA
Rfam family: Bacterial small subunit ribosomal RNA
Source: RNAcentral
AACCAGACUCCUACGGGAGGCAGCAGUGGGGAAUAUUGGUCAAUGGGCGCGAGCCUGAACCAGCCAAGUCGCGUGAGGGAGGACGGCCCUACGGGUUGUAAACCUCUUUUGCCGGGGAGCAACGGGCGUCACGUGUGGCGCCACUGAGAGUACCCGGAGAAAAAGCAUCGGCUAACUCCGUGCCAGCAGCCGCGGUAAUACGUAGGGAGCGAGCGUUAUCCGGAUUUAUUGGGUGUAAAGGGUGCGUAGACGGGGAAUUAAGUUAGUUGUGAAAUCCCAAGGCUCAACUUUGGAACUGCAACUAAAACUAAUUUUCUUGAGUACUGGAGAGGAAAGUGGAAUUCCUAGUGUAGCGGUGAAAUGCGUAGAUAUUAGGAGGAACACCAGUGGCGAAGGCGACUUUCUGGACAGAAACUGACGUUGAGGCACGAAAGUGUGGGGAGCAAACAGGAUUAGAUACCCGCGUAUA